ACGCGCACAGCCAGCCGCUUGCAGCUUCGUGAACCUCAUAUUGUCACUAACAGCCCCACAGCCAUAGCCUCACGGGACCACCGAGAGACAGGCUUGUGCUGGCAGCGUGUGUGGUCUGCAGCUGAAGCAGAACCAGAUGAGGAUUAGGCAUACAGCAGCCAGCACUGUGCCCAGUCACAGCUCCAGAACCAUGUCCAGGUGAAUGCUCCUGCUGAGGAAACACGAUGGGCUGGAAAUAACAAAUUGGGGUGGGAGGCUGGAAAACAUGGAAGUGAAGGAAGAGAAUGCAGAUGGAGGAAAACAGAUGUGAAACAGAGACUGUACUUCGAAGUAUCACCAUCAUAAAACCUUACAAAGUUCAAAGAAAUGAAUUUCCAAAGAUAUAAAAAGUACAAAUUCAA
Molecule: long non-coding RNA, 401 nt
Organism: Cygnus olor (mute swan)
Lineage: Eukaryota; Metazoa; Chordata; Aves; Anseriformes; Anatidae
Exons: 2
Source: RefSeq, a predicted model, not a curated record